AUGGGGUGUCCUGGGCCCACGUGUACCCCAAAAGUCAGGGGUCCUCUCAGUAUUUAUGGGGUGUUUGGGUACCAGAAGUUGGGGGCCCCGUAUGGAACACAAAAGUUGGGGGUCUCACUCGUUUAUGGGGUACCCUGGGCCAAUAUGGACCCCAACAAGUCUGGGGUCCCAUGUGGACCCCAGAAGUCGGGGAUCCCUUUUGUUUAUGGGGUGACCUGGGCUCAUGUGGGUGCCAAAUGUGGGGGUCUCCUCCUGUCUUGGGGGUCCCAUCUGUGCCCCAUAAGUUGGGGGUCCCUCUCCUAUAUGGGGUACCCUGGUUCCAAGUGUACCCCAAAACUUGGGGGGUCCCAUAGGCUGUUCCUUGGGUAUCCUGGACCCACAUGGACCCCAAAUGUGGGGCCCCCCCUCGUUUAUGGGGUGUCCUGGCCCUAUUUGUACCCCAAAUGUUGGGAUUCCCCCUUAUUUAUGGGGUGCCUGGGCCCACCUGUACCCCAAAACUUGGGGGUCCCCUUCAUUUAUGGAGUGCCCCGGACCCAUCUGUACCCCCAAGAGUUGGGGGUCCCCCUCAUUUAUGGGGUGCCCCGGCCCCACUUGUACCCCAAAAGUCAGCGACCCCCCCCCAUUUAUGGGCUGCCCCACGUCUUCAGCCCCCCACAAUUAGGGGAUCCCUUUACCUAUAUGGGGUGCCCGGUCCCAUCUGUACCCCAAAAGUUGGGGGUCCCCCUCAUUUAUGGGGUGCCCCGGUCCCAUCUACACCCCAUAAGUCGGGUGGGGGUCCCAUGUGCACCUCGAAAUCCGGGGGUCCCCCUCGUUUGUGGGGUGUCUGGGUCUCUCGCGCACCCCAAAACUCAGGGUUCCACGUGGACCCCAUAACUCAGGGGUCCCCCUUAUUUAUGGGGUGCCCUGUGUUCUCAGUACCCUAAUGGGGUCACGUCUGGACCCACAGACUCGGGGGUCGCCUUCAUUGAUGGGGUCCCAUCCUCACCCCAUAACGUGGGGGUCCCAUGUGGCCCCCGAAAUUCGGGCCCCGCUCCUUUAUGGGGUGCCCAGGUACCUCGUGUGCCCCAUAACUGGGGGGUCCCCCUUUGUUUAUGGGGUGCUGCUGGGGGUCCCAUUUGCACCCCGAUACUCAGGGACCCCCCCUCACUGUUCCUUGGGUGCCCUUAUGGACCCCAAUAGGACCCCGUUUGAACCCCCAAACUUGGGGGUCGCUCUCGUUUAUGGGGUGCCUGGGUACCCCAAAACCUGGGGGGUCUCACAUGCACACCGAUACUCGGGGGUCCCCCUCCUUGAAGAGGUCCCCCCCCCUCCAUUGAGCACCCCAAUAUUAGGGGACCCCCUCCCCAUUUGGGUGGGGGGGCUGCACUGGUGACUGUACCCCACAACUCUGGGAUCCCCCCACCCCCGGCAUUAUGGACCCUAAAACCCCCUCCUCUUUAUGGGGCCCCCUCUGCACCCCCACAGCCCUGGGACCCCCCCACAUUUCCAGGACCCCUCCCCACUUUAUGGGGUCCCUCUGUGCCCCCUAAAACUCGGGGAACCCCCCCUCCCUCCCCUUCCCCUUUAUAGGGUCUCCCCUCUGCACCCCACAGCUCUGGGACCCCCCCCUUCUUCCCCUCCCUCACCUUUAUGGGGACCCCGCUGCACUCCACAGCCUUGGGACCCCUCCCCAUUUUAUGGGAUCCUCUUUGUGCACCCCACAACUCUGGGACCCCUACCCUCCACACUUAUAGGGUCCCUCUGCACCCCACAGCCCUGGGACCCCCCCACAUUUCCAGGACCCCUCCCCACUUUAUGGGGUCCCUCUGUGCACCCCACAACUCUGGGACCCCCUCUCCCUCCCCUUCCCCUUUAUGGGGUCCCCUCUGCACCC
Molecule: long non-coding RNA, 1873 nt
Filed under: Coturnix japonica (Japanese quail)
Lineage: Eukaryota; Metazoa; Chordata; Aves; Galliformes; Phasianidae
Description: lncRNA (ENSCJPG00005004996.1)
Source: RNAcentral